This is an RNA transcript of Daphnia carinata, 910 nucleotides long. It is a transcript of the gene named proteasome subunit alpha type-7-like, with no coding region annotated. Lineage: Eukaryota; Metazoa; Arthropoda; Branchiopoda; Diplostraca; Daphniidae. The record is from RefSeq and is a predicted model, not a curated record. The transcript has 5 exons.
CGGCAAAAUUUUUUGCUGUGAAGUGUUAACGCGACAGGGUUGAAAAGACAUCGAAUACCACCUUCAAGUUUUGGUGAAUAAUGGGUUCGGCACGUUAUGAUCGCGCAAUUACUGUGUUUUCCCCUGAUGGUCAUCUUUUUCAAGUCGAAUAUGCACAGGAGGCUGUAAAAAAAGGAUCUACUGCUGUCGGUGUGCGUGGGAAGGAUUUGGUAAUCUUGGGAGUAGAGAAGAAGUCUGUUGCUAAGCUGCAAGAAGAGAGGACUGUUCGUAAAAUCUGCCUUCUAGACGAUCAUGUGGUGAUGGCAUUUGCUGGACUGACAGCUGAUGCCCGUAUUUUAAUAAACAGAGCUAGAAUAGAGUGUCAGUCUCACAAGCUGACAGUAGAGGAUCCUGUAACAUUGGAGUACAUUACAAGAUACAUUGCAGGUUUGAAGCAGAGAUAUACACAGAGCAAUGGGCGACGUCCGUUUGGCAUUUCUUGUUUACUUGCUGGGUUCGAUUUUGAUGGUACCCCUCAUUUAUAUCAGACAGACCCUUCUGGAACAUAUCACGAAUGGAAGGCUAAUGCAACAGGGCGGAACGCCAAAACAGUGCGCGAGUUUCUAGAAAAGAACUAUAACCUCGAAGAGAUGGAAGAUGAAGAAAAGGUUAUAAAGCUCGCCAUUCGUGCACUGCUGGAAGUGGUACAGUCAGGAAGUAAGAAUCUAGAGUUGGCGAUAAUGAGACGUGGCCAGCCAAUGAAGAUGUUAGAAGUAGACGAAAUUGAGAAGCAUGUUGCUGCUGUGGAAAAAGAGAAGGAAGAAGAAGCAGAAAAGAAGAAACAAAAGAAGUAACUCUUGAAAUGCUAUGAAUUUGUGAUGCUGCAUCGCAAACCGAUACAAAUAAACCAUGGGCUAACGAAAAAAAAAAA